RNAcentral lists this long non-coding RNA (2681 nucleotides) under Marmota monax (woodchuck). The record is from RNAcentral. Lineage: Eukaryota; Metazoa; Chordata; Mammalia; Rodentia; Sciuridae.
CCAGGAUUGAACCAAGGUAUUCUGAAUCCCAGAGUAGCCUUAAAUUCAAACUCCCAAGACCCCAGAGUGUCUAUUUUUCUUAGUGGUCUGUCAGAGGCUGAUGACUCUCAAAGUAGCAUCUUUAAAAAAAGGCAAGACAGUCACUAGAAUAGCAACUUCAGGGUCCUUGUUUAGAAGUGCUUGGGGUAGGGAAGUAUUGCAAAUAUAAGACUGGACUUCCAUUAAACAGAAAUGUACUGUUAGCAAAAGCCUGGUGUGUUUGGGUGAAUAGUAAGUUUCCACCACAUGUAAGGUAUAAUAAUAAUCAGGUUUUCAAAAUACUCAGCCAGACUCUGCUGGUUUCUCUAAGAUAGAAAUGCACAGACAGAUAAAAGACUGUGUUCAGGUUUUAUUUUAAUCUUUGCCUCCCUGCUUGUGGUCUUAAAGGCCUUAGUACUGACAGCAAAUGAUAUUUCUACCUCCUUCUUUACAAAGCAGGAAUUUGCAUUUUAAUUUUGGAAUACUUAGGGAAAAAUCAAAUGAAAUGCUUUAUUUACCUUUUCGAGAUUUUUUUUUUCUUCUUUCCAGGAAUAAAGCCUAUUGCGUACUGAGCUGCAUACUAAAUGUCAUGAAUCUCAAGGCAGAGCUCGUUACUGGAGCUACAGUGAAUGCGUUUGUGCUUCAGUCAGGAGGAAUUUCAACUUCAAGGGGCUCCAGAUUGGAAUAGAUUUCUUUUAAAGUAAAAUAGUUGGGCUUGCCUUGAAUUGAACCUCAAGAACAACAUUUAAUAAAAAUGUGCUGUGAGCCCUGCUUUGAUAAGGAAAGCUAUUUAUAAGCAUCUUGUCAUCUUCUAUAGCAACUCUAAAGGCCUCUAAACCCUGAAAGUGAUGAGAAUAUAGCUACUAGUAUACAAUUCCCAAGUUUGUCUACCCAUCCUAGUUGCUGUUCACCUGAGUCCAAAAUGGACACUCAGAAAGCAAAAGUGGUUGCUGCUAUUAAAUACAUUGGGACAACAGGCAUAAACUGGGAACCAAAUCUGGCAAACUAGCAGGAACAAACAGCCUAAUCAUGGGCAAAUUCCCUUUUCUAGCAAAGAAACGAUCAGCAUGGAGUCUGUAGGCAGAGUAUAAUGUCUGAUCCAGAAUUUACUCAAUGAAGGACCAGGAAGGAAGUCCCCUACAUGGAACAACUUUGAACACAAAAAACAGAAUCGGAAGGGUGAUAGAGUCAUCUAGUUCUAUGGGAUGAGAGAGUAGAGAGGAAUUGGGGUUGUCAUUUGGAUCUGUGUAAAAGGCUGGUGGACUGAUAGGAGGUGGUGGAAACUUUAGCAGGUGGGCCUAGUGGAAGGUCACUGGGGGAUGUCCUUGAGGGGCUUGUUGGGACCAUCACCUCCUUUCCCUAUCGCUAUUUGCCUCCCAGCUGCUCCACACAUGUUCCUUGUCUUGGUGUUCUUUGUCACCAUAGUCCCAAAACAGUAGAGCCAACUGACCAUGGACUGAGACCCCUGAAACCGUGAGCCAAAAGAAAUCUCUCCUUUUAAGUAGUUUGUCAGCUAUUUUGUCACAUGGAAAGCUAACACAUAAACUAAAAUUACUGAAACAACUGUUCUUUUAUUCUUAGAUUAUGUCCUUUCUUACCAUUUUUUGGGCGUUGAACAAUUAUUUUUAAUCAAAUGAAAUAAAUACUAGAGAAUAAUAAUAUUUUUAAUGUUUUUAACCUGGCAAAUUUAAAAGUGGCAUCUCUAUGGAGAUCCCAAAAUGUUAAGUCAGAGCCAAAGACCCAUAGCUUUAAGAUAACUUCAAAUCAUAAAACACGGUAGAAAAAAGGUUGUUGUUAUUUUUUUUUUCUUUUUCAGAAAAAAGAGGAAGAUAAUCAAUAACAAGUAAUUACAAUCAUUGCAGCUUGAUGUUGGCCAGGGAUCCUAACGGCUCAGAGGUGUGAGGAAUUCGAAGAUUGUCUUUAGUCUUUCUAUCCCAAGUCCUUGGCCCUUGGCAAGACCCUCUGGCUCUUUCCCAGCAGUCAAUCUGCUCCUUGCAAAAGCUCCAGCUCCCCAGGAGAGAGUCAGUGAGCAUGGAUGAGGAUAAUCUCAUGAAAACUGGCAGGUCCAGUCCUUCUAUGUUACUUUUAGAAGAGAAGAAGUUUCUUCUUUUUGGGUUAAGGACUGAAAUUAGCUAGACUGAUUUCAUUUCUCCACUUGGCUUUGUGUACAUGGCUAUUGACUCUGAAACCGAAGGAGGGGUAAUGCAGAGGAAUGCUCUGGCUACUGGUAUAAAACUUGCCAAGAAAAAACCAACGAGGACUUGAUUUUAUGAAUGCGGUAUUCUUUUGCUAAUCCCCCAGCACUGGAUCACAGAAGAGUAAAGACAAAUCUACUCAGGAGUAUUAUUUUCAGACUUCAGGAUGAAGGUAGCUAAAUAGCAAGCUUCUCUAAGUACAAAGAUGCUCAGCAAGCCCAGGCAUAUUUCUGCUUUAGGAGGAAAAAAAUCAAACAGUCUCUGCUCUUAUAAAAUCCACGUAUCUAUAUUUUAACAUGACAGCAUUACCAAGAAUUAGUAAUUAGCCUGAAGUAUCUGGUCAAAAUCAAAUAGACUUGAGUCAACCAGCUCCUAUGAAUUCAUUCAGUCUAUUUCAGAUUUUAUGAUAUUAAAUUGCUUUUGCAAAGUUGUGCAUAAUAAAACAAAAUAAAGGAUGGCUUGAGGAUA